RNAcentral lists this ribosomal RNA (253 nucleotides) under uncultured bacterium. RNAcentral's name for it is "partial 16S ribosomal RNA". It matches the Rfam family "Bacterial small subunit ribosomal RNA", at positions 524 to 776 of the family's 1533-position model. The record is from RNAcentral.
UACGUAGGGUGCGAGCGUUAAUCGGAAUUACUGGGCGUAAAGCGUGCGCAGGCGGCUUUGUAAGUCAGGUGUGAAAUCCCCGGGCUUAACCUGGGAAUGGCAUUUGGGACUGCAAGGCUGGAGUACGGCAGAGGAGACUGGAAUUCCUGGUGUAGCAGUGAAAUGCGUAGAGAUCAGGAGGAAUACCGAUGGCGAAGGCAGGUCUCUGGGCUGAUACUGACGCUCAUGCACGAAAGCGUGGGGAGCAAACAGG